GACUCCUACGGGAGGCAGCAGUGAGGAAUAUUGGACAAUGGGCGGGAGCCUGAUCCAGCCAUGCCGCGUGCGGGAAGAAGGCCCUAUGGGUCGUAAACCGCUUUUAUACGGGAAGAAACCACCCCACGUGUGGGGUACUGACGGUACCGUAAGAAUAAGGACCGGCUAACUCCGUGCCAGCAGCCGCGGUAAUACGGAGGGUCCGAGCGUUAUCCGGAAUCAUUGGGUUUAAAGGGUCCGCAGGCGGGCCGUUAAGUCAGGGGUGAAAGCCCGCGGCUCAACCGUAGAACUGCCCUUGAUACUGGCGGUCUUGAGUCAUAUUGGAGUGGGCGGAAUAUGUAGUGUAGCGGUGAAAUGCAUAGAUAUUACAUAGAACACCGAUCGCGAAGGCAGCUCACUAAGUAUGUACUGACGCUGAUGGACGAAAGCGUGGGGGAGCGAACGGGAUUAGAUACCCCGGUAGUCCACGCCGUAAACGAUGGAUACUAGCUGUCCGGGACCUUGAGACCUGGGCGGCCAAGCGAAAGUGAUAAGUAUCCCACCUGGGGAGUACGUUCGCAAGAAUGAAACUCAAAGGAAUUGACGGGG
RNAcentral lists this ribosomal RNA (588 nucleotides) under uncultured Pseudozobellia sp. RNAcentral's name for it is "bacterial SSU rRNA". It matches the Rfam family "Bacterial small subunit ribosomal RNA", at positions 334 to 918 of the family's 1533-position model. The record is from RNAcentral. Lineage: Bacteria; Pseudomonadati; Bacteroidota; Flavobacteriia; Flavobacteriales; Flavobacteriaceae.